GCUUGUCUCAAAGAUUAAGCCAUGCACGUCUAAGUAUAAGCAUUAUACAGCGAAACAGCGAAUGGCUCAUUACAUUAGUUUUAACAUACACGAUGAUCGAUUCUACUUGGAUAACCGUAGUAAUUCUAGAGCUAAUACAUGCGUAAAGCGCUUCGUAAGAAGUGUGUGUUUAUUAGAUACAACCGCCCUCGCAAGAGGUUUAGGUGAGUCACAAUAACCGAACGAACCGCUAUAUGCGGUGGUUCAUUCUGGAUUCUGCCCUAUCAGCUUUCGAUGGUAGGGUAUUGGCCUACCAUGGCGUUCACGGGUAACGGAGAAUUAGGGU
Molecule: ribosomal RNA, 325 nt
Filed under: uncultured fungus
Lineage: Eukaryota; Fungi
Description: partial small subunit ribosomal RNA
Rfam family: Eukaryotic small subunit ribosomal RNA
Source: RNAcentral